Molecule: long non-coding RNA, 421 nt
Organism: Anas platyrhynchos (mallard)
Lineage: Eukaryota; Metazoa; Chordata; Aves; Anseriformes; Anatidae
Source: RefSeq, a predicted model, not a curated record
CUGGGGAGAAGAAAAUGUUCUUGCCAGGUGCCUGGGCAGACGCUUGCCUGUAAAACCUGAAGGCAAAGUCCGUGUUGCUGGGGACUAUCCGUUGGCAGAACCCAAGAGGAUCUCCCUCAUGGGAAUGCCGCUCCUGGAGUACCUGAGACAGAGAUUACCCUUGAUCCGAAGAUGUGAAUUCUGCCCAGCACUAAGCUCUGACAGCCAGAGGCAGGGCAAGGAAGCUUUGGGGAACACCUCUUGUUAUCAGCCAUGCUACCCAGCCUACUGGACUCUGCUUAAGCUGCUACCAGGACACUGACCUUUUCUGUAGGAGCUAUCCUCCUGGUGUCAGAAGUCAUAAGAAGUCACAAGCCUCCACCACCCUUGGGAGUCCCCACUUCCCAGACUCCACCUGCCCCUCAAGCAGCAUAGCUGAGAG